UAUAAAGUUGGCAGAAUUAUGUGAAUAAUUUAGGAUUAUUUUAUGAAAGUAUAGCUUUUACUUUAUAU
This 68-nucleotide transfer RNA is filed under the name Amphioctopus aegina. RNAcentral describes it as "tRNA-Leu". The record is from RNAcentral. Lineage: Eukaryota; Metazoa; Mollusca; Cephalopoda; Octopoda; Octopodidae.